Capra hircus (goat) is the source of this 786-nucleotide long non-coding RNA. RefSeq lists it as uncharacterized. Lineage: Eukaryota; Metazoa; Chordata; Mammalia; Artiodactyla; Bovidae. The transcript has 3 exons. The record is from RefSeq and is a predicted model, not a curated record.
UCACCCCUCGAGGGUGUACUAGCCUUUAUUUUUCCUAAUAAAACUGAGCUGUAACCCAGCUGUAACAUUGGUCUGACAUUUCAAAUCUUUACUGUGGCAAGACAGAACUGAGGAAAUUACACACUCCCCGGACAUAUCUGGUGCCAGGCCCUGGAUGUAACCUCGCUGAAACAAUCUAAACUCUGCCCCAGCAAGGUGGAGACCAAGCACACAGAAGCCCAGCUCGGUGAAAGCUCACGUGGUGGACGCUGAAGGUGAAGGAAACCCAGCGCAGUGGAAGUAACAAGAAGCCCAGCGUGCUGGAAACCAGGGCAACAAAAAAGGAACUCAGCAGAAACCUCGCGCAGCUCAGUCUCAGAUUCCAGGAGACCUCCGGUUAAGAUAAUAUUCUCGUCACCUGCCCAGCUGAUCAAGUUCAUCACCAAACUCCUUUCUUCUUCAUCAACUAUACACAAUUUUGUGUUAAACCAUUCCAGAAGAAUUUAUCUUGUGGUGCAGUGGUAAAAACAUCUGCCUGCCAAUUCAGGAGACACAGGCUCCAUCUCUGGGUUGGGAAGAUCCCCUGGAGUAAGAAAUGGUAAUCCACUCCGCUAUUCUUGCCUGGAAACCCCCAUGGGCAGAGGAGCCUGGCAGGCUACUGUCCAUGAGGUCCCGAAGAGUUGGACAUGACUGAGAUAGCUCACACAUAUUUGUGUUAUUACAUUUAAUAGUUAUUUUUUCCAGAAUAUUAAUGUGUUUAAAAAUAAUGAAAAUGUUGGAACGCUUUUCCUAAGACCCCAAUAUUGC